GGGGGGGCAAGCGUUGUUCGGAAUUACUGGGCGUAAAGGGCGCGCAGGCGGCCCGGCCAGUCCCUUGUGAAAUCCCACGGCUCAACUGUGGAACUGCAGGGGAUACUGCCAGGCUUGAGUCCGGGAGAGGGUAGUGGAAUUCCCAGUGUAGCGGUGAAAUGCGUAGAUAUUGGGAGGAACACCGGUGGCGAAGGCGGCUACCUGGACCGGUACUGACGCUGAGGCGCGAAAGCUAGGGGAGCAAACGGGAUUAGAUACCCCGGGUAGUCCUAGCUGUAAACGUUGAGCACUUGGUGUGGCGGGUAUCGACCCCCCCUGCUGUGCCGAAGCUAACGCAUUAAGUGCUCCGCCUGGGGGAGUACGGUCGCAAGGCUG
This 375-nucleotide ribosomal RNA is filed under the name uncultured organism. Its description in RNAcentral is "partial 16S ribosomal RNA". It matches the Rfam family "Bacterial small subunit ribosomal RNA", at positions 528 to 896 of the family's 1533-position model. The record is from RNAcentral.